GCGUGAAUCGUCUAGUGGUUAGGACAUUUGCUUCCCAGAUACUAAGCUCUAGUAGCAAGGAGCCCGGGUUCGAAUCCCGGUUCGCGCA
Cercophora sp. LCS_1 is the source of this 88-nucleotide non-coding RNA. Lineage: Eukaryota; Fungi; Ascomycota; Sordariomycetes; Sordariales; Lasiosphaeriaceae. The record is from the annotation of a GenBank genome assembly.